Molecule: long non-coding RNA, 1384 nt
Organism: Clupea harengus (Atlantic herring)
Lineage: Eukaryota; Metazoa; Chordata; Actinopteri; Clupeiformes; Clupeidae
Source: Ensembl
UUGGCACCGGUCAGAAGACAUGUGUGUGUGUCUCUGUGUGUGUGUGUGUGUGUGUGUGUGUGUGUGUGUGUGUGUGUGUGUGUGUGUGUGUGUGUGUGUGUGUGUGUGUGUGCCACUCCUGGGGGUGGAUGGAGGUGCAGAGCCACUCGGAGAGCAAAGCCGUCACAGAGAGGCAGGCAGUGAGGGCAGUCAUGCAGGCAGUCAUGCAGGCAGGCAGGCAGGCAGUCAUGCAGGCAGGCAGUGAGGGCAGGCAGGCAGGGCAGGCAGCGGGGCCGGGCCUGGCUGGGCUGUGCUUCGCCUCUGUUCUGUUCUGUUCUGCUGGGCUGGACUGUGCCAGGUGCUCGCAUCUAGUGGAGAGGCUUUGGAUGCAGCCAGGAGUGUGUGUGUGUGUGUGUGUGUGUGUGUGUGUGUGUGUGUGUGUGUGUGUGUGUGUGUGUGUGUGCCAGGGCUCUGAUGGUUGUGUGUGUGUGUGUGUGUGUGUGUGUGUGUGUGUGUGUGUGUGCCAGGGCUCUGUGUUCCAGAGAGGAAAUGUGCAAAGCUGAGCGAGGCCAGAAACACAUCAGCACGUGUGGGGGGGGCAGGGAGCUACUGGAGAACAGGCAUAUCUGCUGAGCACAUCUGUCUACAUGAGCGCAUGUGUGUGUGUGUGUGUGUGUGUGUGUGUGUGUGUGUGUGUGUGUGUGUGUGUUUGAGAGAGAGAGAGAGAGUGUGUUUGUGUAACAUGCGUUUGUAUGUUGAUUUUUCUGAAAUGACCAUGUAAAUUGCAAACGUUUGAGGGAGAGAAUCUUUUGGUUAACUGCUCUAUAAAGCAUGAAAAAAUACAAGUGCAUGUUAUAAAGUUGUGUGAAAGGCAUUGAUCAAGUCAUACAAUUCAUGGCGUGAAACAGGAGGAUGUCUGUGUAUGUAACGGUGGCUGGUUUUUAUCUGUGUAUGCAUUUGUUUGUUUAUGUGUGUGUGUCAGUGUGUGCGUGAGUGAUUGUGUGUGUGUGUGUGUGUGUGUGUGUGUGUCAGUGUGUGCGUGAGUGAUUGUGUAUGUGUGUGUGUGUCUGUGCCAGUGUGUGUGUGUGUGUUUGUGUGUGUGUGUCAGUGAUUGUGUAUGUGUGUGUGUAUGUGUGUGUGUGUGCGCAUGUGUGUCAGUGUGAGUGAUUGUGUGUGUGUGUGUGUGUGUGUGUAUGUUUGUGUGUCAGUGUGCGUGUGAGUGAUUGUGUAAGUGUGUGUGUGUGUGUGUAUGUUUGUGUGUGUGUGUGUGUGUGUGUGUGUGUGUGUGUGUGUGUGUGUGUGUGUGUGUGUAAGCAUGUGUCUGUAAACCUGUGUGCUGGACCCUACUCCCUAGAGGGUACUGCUUGAGAGGAGGUUGUCUGUGUACGGCGAAUUGAACACGAGA